RNAcentral lists this ribosomal RNA (492 nucleotides) under uncultured bacterium. Its description in RNAcentral is "partial 16S ribosomal RNA". It matches the Rfam family "Bacterial small subunit ribosomal RNA", at positions 29 to 507 of the family's 1533-position model. The record is from RNAcentral.
AGUGAACGCUGGCGGUAGGCCUAACACAUGCAAGUCGAACGGCAGCACAGUAAGAGCUUGCUCUUACGGGUGGCGAGUGGCGGACGGGUGAGGAAUACAUCGGAAUCUACUUUUUCGUGGGGGAUAACGUAGGGAAACUUACGCUAAUACCGCAUACGACCUACGGGUGAAAGCAGGGGAUCUUCGGACCUUGCGCGAUUGAAUGAGCCGAUGUCGGAUUAGCUAGUUGGCGGGGUAAAGGCCCACCAAGGCGACGAUCCGUAGCUGGUCUGAGAGGAUGACCAGCCACACUGUAACUGAGACACGGUCCAGACUCCUACGGGAGGCAGCAGUGGGGAAUAUUGGACAAUGGGCGCAAGCCUGAUCCAGCCAUACCGCGUGGGUGAAGAAGGCCUUCGGGUUGUAAAGCCCUUUUGUUGGGAAAGAAAAGCAGCAGGUUAAUACCCCGCUGUUCUGACGGUACCCAAAGAAUAAGCACCGGCUAACUUCGUG